RNAcentral lists this ribosomal RNA (227 nucleotides) under Clostridioides difficile. RNAcentral's name for it is "partial 16S ribosomal RNA". It matches the Rfam family "Bacterial small subunit ribosomal RNA", at positions 1127 to 1353 of the family's 1533-position model. Lineage: Bacteria; Bacillati; Bacillota; Clostridia; Peptostreptococcales; Peptostreptococcaceae. The record is from RNAcentral.
UAAGUUGGGCACUCUAGAGAGACUGCCAGGGAUAACCUGGAGGAAGGUGGGGAUGACGUAAAAUCAUCAUGCCCCUUAUGCUUAGGGCUACACACGUGCUACAAUGGGUAGUACAGAGGGUUGCAAAGCCGUAAGGUGGAGCUAAUCCCUUAAAGCUACUCUCAGUUCGGAUUGUAGGCUGAAACUCGCCUACAUGAAGCUGGAGUUACUAGUAAUCGCAGAUCAGA